Molecule: ribosomal RNA, 878 nt
Filed under: uncultured fungus
Lineage: Eukaryota; Fungi
Description: eukaryotic LSU rRNA
Rfam family: 5.8S ribosomal RNA (bases 432-585)
Source: RNAcentral
UCUUGGUCAUUUAGAGGAAGUAAAAGUCGUAACAAGGUUUCCGUAGGUGAACCUGCGGAAGGAUCAUUAAAGAAAUUUAAUAAUUUUGAAAAUGGAUUUUUUUGUUUUGGCAAGAGCAUGAGAGCUUUUACUGGGCAAGAAGACAAGAGAUGGAGAGUCCAGCCGGGCCUGCGCUUAAGUGCGCGGUCUUGCUAGGCUUGUAAGUUUCUUUCUUGCUAUUCCAAACGGUGAGAGAUUUCUGUGCUUUUGUUAUAGGACAAUUAAAGCCGUUUCAAUACAACACACUGUGGAGUUUUCAUAUCUUUGCAACUUUUUCUUUGGGCAUUCGAGCAAUCGGGGCCCAGAGGUAACAAACACAAACAAUUUUAUCUAUUCAUUAAAUUUUUGUCAAAAACAAGAAUUUUCGUAACUGGAAAUUUUAAAAUAUUAAAAACUUUCAACAACGGAUCUCUUGGUUCUCGCAUCGAUGAAGAACGCAGCGAAAUGCGAUACGUAAUGUGAAUUGCAGAAUUCCGUGAAUCAUCGAAUCUUUGAACGCACAUUGCGCCCCUUGGUAUUCCAGGGGGCAUGCCUGUUUGAGCGUCAUUUCCUUCUCAAACAUUCUGUUUGGUAGUGAGUGAUACUCUUUGGAGUUAACUUGAAAUUGCUGGCCUUUUCAUUGGAUGUUUUUUUUCCAAAGAGAGGUUUCUCUGCGUGCUUGAGGUAUAAUGCAAGUACGGUCGUUUUAGGUUUUACCAACUGCGGCUAAUCUUUUUUUAUACUGAGCGUAUUGGAACGUUAUCGAUAAGAAGAGAGCGUCUAGGCGAACAAUGUUCUUAAAGUUUGACCUCAAAUCAGGUAGGAGUACCCGCUGAACUUAAGCAUAUCAAUAAGCGGAG